GUGAAAUUGAUUAAAUGGCUGCAGUAUAUUGACUGUACAAAGGUAGCAUAAUCAUUAGUUUCUUAAUUAGGAACUGGAAUGAAUGGUUAGAUGAGAAAAUAACUGUCUUAAUAAUAAUAAUAAGGAAAUUUAUUUUUAAGUUAAAAAGCUUAAAUUUAAUUUAAAGACGAGAAGACCCUAUAGAGUUUUAUAUUAAUAUAUAAUAUUUAAAAUUAGGAAUUUACUUUAAAUAAUUUUAUUUAGUAUUUAGUUGGGGUGAUUAAAAAAUUUAAUUAACUUUUUUUUUAGGUUAACAUUUAUAAAUGAAUUAUUGAUCCGUGAUUAACGAUUAUAAGAAUAAAUUACCUUAGGGAUAACAGCGUAAUUUUUUUAGAGAGUUCUUAUCGAUAAAAAAGUUUGCGACCUCGAUGUUGGAUUAAAAUUUGUAUUUGGCGCAAGAGUUAAAUUACAAGGUCUGUUCGACCUUUAAAAUUUUACAUGAUCUGAGUUUAAACCGGUGUAAGCCAGGUUGGUUUCUAUCUUAAAUUUAAUAAAUAUAUUUUAGUACGAAAGGACCAAUUAUUUUUAUAAUAUAAUUUUAAAUUGAAUGAGAUUGUUACUUUGGCAGAUUAGUGCAUUAAAUUUAGAAUUUAAAUAUAUAUUAAUUAUAUAAGUAAUACUUGAUAUUGUUAGAUUAUUGUAUAGUAGUGAUUAGAUCAUUAAUUUUACUUAUUUGUGUUUUAGUUGGGGUU
RNAcentral lists this ribosomal RNA (731 nucleotides) under Chaetarthria sp. SLE0410. RNAcentral describes it as "partial 16S ribosomal RNA". The stretch from base 1 to 547 matches the Rfam family "Bacterial large subunit ribosomal RNA", at positions 1912 to 2925 of the family's 2925-position model. Lineage: Eukaryota; Metazoa; Arthropoda; Insecta; Coleoptera; Hydrophilidae. The record is from RNAcentral.